AUGGCGACCGGCGCACGGGUGCGUAACGCGUAUGCAACCUACCCUUUACUGAGGGAUAGCCCGGAGAAAUUCGGAUUAAUACUUCAUGGUACUAUAAUAUGGCAUCAUAUACUAGUUAAAGAUUUAUUGGUAAAGGAUGGGCAUGCGUGACAUUAGCUAGUUGGUGAGGUAAUGGCUCACCAAGGCUACGAUGUCUAGGGGUUCUGAGAGGAAGAUCCCCCACACUGGUACUGAGACACGGACCAGACUCC
RNAcentral lists this ribosomal RNA (251 nucleotides) under uncultured bacterium. Its description in RNAcentral is "partial 16S ribosomal RNA". It matches the Rfam family "Bacterial small subunit ribosomal RNA", at positions 88 to 339 of the family's 1533-position model. The record is from RNAcentral.